RNAcentral lists this non-coding RNA (23 nucleotides) under Arabidopsis thaliana (thale cress). The record is from RNAcentral. Lineage: Eukaryota; Viridiplantae; Streptophyta; Magnoliopsida; Brassicales; Brassicaceae.
AACCAACCGAGUAAACCGAUCGA